RNAcentral lists this ribosomal RNA (419 nucleotides) under uncultured bacterium. RNAcentral's name for it is "bacterial SSU rRNA". It matches the Rfam family "Bacterial small subunit ribosomal RNA", at positions 358 to 769 of the family's 1533-position model. The record is from RNAcentral.
GGAAUUUUGGACAAUGGGCGCAAGCCUGAUCCAGCCAUGCCGCGUGUGUGAAGAAGGCCUUCGGGUUGUAAAGCACUUUCGGCCGGAACGAAAUCGCGCGGGUGAACAAUCCGCGUGGAUGACGGUACCGGAAGAAGAAGCACCGGCUAACUACGUGCCAGCAGCCGCGGUAAUACGUAGGGUGCGAGCGUUAAUCGGAAUUACUGGGCGUAAAGCGUGCGCAGGCGGCGCCGCAAGUCAGGCGUGAAAUCCCCGGGCUUAACUUGGGAAUUGCAUUUGAAACUACGUGACUGGAGUGUGGCAGAGGGAGGUGGAAUUCCACGUGUAGCGGUGAAAUGCGUAGAGAUGUGGAGGAACACCGAUGGCGAAGGCAGCCUCCUGGGCCAACACUGACGCUCAUGCACGAAAGCGUGGGGAGC